UUCCGGUUGAUCCUGCCGGAGGCCAUUGCUAUUGGGAUCCGAUUUAGCCAUGCUAGUCGUACGAGUUCAGACUCGUGGCGAAUAGCUCAGUAACACGUGGCCAAACUACCCUUCGGACCGCAAUACCCUCGGGAAACUGAGGCUAAUAGCGGACACCACACGCAGACUGGAAUGUCGCGUGUGUCAAACGCUCCGGCGCCGAAGGAUGUGGCUGCGGCCGAUUAGGUAGACGGUGGGGUAACGGCCCACCGUGCCAAUAAUCGGUACGGGUCAUGAGAGUGAGAACCCGGAGACGGAAUCUGAGACAAGAUUCCGGGCCCUACGGGGCGCAGCAGGCGCGAAACCUUUACACUGCACGCCAGUGCGAUAAGGGGAUCCCAAGUGCGUAGGCAUAGAGCCUACGCUUUUGUCCACCCUAGGGUGGUGGACGAAUAAGGGCUGGGCAAGACCGGUGCCAGCCGCCGCGGUAAUACCGGCAGCACAAGUGAUGGCCGAUAUUAUUGGGCCUAAAGCGUUCGUAGCCGGCCAGACAAGUCUGUUGGGAAAUCCACGCGCCCAGCGCGUGGGCGUCCAGCGGAAACUGUCUGGCUUGGGGCCGGAAGACUCGAGGGGUACGUCCGGGGUAGGAGUGAAAUCCCGUAAUCCUGGACGGACCACCGGUGGCGAAAGCGCCUCGAGAGGACGGACCCGACAGUGAGGGACGAAAGCCAGGGUCUCCAACCGGAUUAGAUACCCGGGUAGUC
Molecule: ribosomal RNA, 743 nt
Filed under: uncultured archaeon
Lineage: Archaea
Description: bacterial SSU rRNA
Rfam family: Archaeal small subunit ribosomal RNA
Source: RNAcentral